Molecule: ribosomal RNA, 305 nt
Filed under: uncultured bacterium
Lineage: Bacteria
Description: bacterial SSU rRNA
Rfam family: Bacterial small subunit ribosomal RNA
Source: RNAcentral
UUACCCCUACGGGGGGCAGCAGUGGGGAAUAUUGGACAAUGGGGGAAACCCUGAUCCAGCGACGCCGCGUGAGUGAAGAAGUAUUUCGGUACGUAAAGCUCUAUCAGCAGGAAAGAAAAUGACGGUACCUGACUAAGAAGCCCCGGCUAACUACGUGCCAGCAGCCGCGGUAAUACGUAGGUGGCAAGCGUUGUCCGGAUUUACUGGGUGUAAAGGGCGUGUAGCCGGGCUGACAAGUCAGAUGUGAAAUCCGGGGGCUCAACCCCCGAACUGCAUUUGAAACUGUUGGUCUUGAGUAUCGGAGG